This is a non-coding RNA of Russula brevipes, 72 nucleotides long. NCBI's taxonomy places the organism in Eukaryota, Fungi, Basidiomycota, Agaricomycetes, Russulales, Russulaceae. The record is from the annotation of a GenBank genome assembly.
GGCUGUGUAGCUCAGUGGUAGAGCUCUGGAGGUCCAUUCCAAGGGUCUUGGGUUUGAUCCCCAGUGUGGCCA